GAUGAACGCUGGCGGCGUGCCUAAUACAUGCCAGUCGAGCGAACAGAUGAGGAGCUUGCUCCUCUGACGUUAGCGGCGGACGGGUGAGUAACACGUGGAUAACCUACCUAUAAGACUGGGAUAACUUCGGGAAACCGGAGCUAAUACCGGAUAAUAUAUUGAACCGCAUGGUUCAAUAGUGAAAGACGGUUUUGCUGUCACUUAUAGAUGGAUCCGCUCCGCAUUAGCUAGUUGGUAAGGUAACGGCUUACCAAGGCAACGAUGAGUAGCCGACCUGAGAGGGUGUCCGGCAACACUGGAACUGAGACACGGUCCAGACUCCUACGGGAGGCAGCAGUAGGGAAUCUUCCGCAAUGGGCGAAAGCCUGACGGAGCAACGCCGCGUGAGUGAUGAAGGUCUUCGGAUCGUAAACCUCUGUUAUUAGGGAAGACCAAAUGUGUAAGUAACUAUGCACGUCUUGACGGUACCUAAUCAGAAAGCCACGGCUAACUACGUG
Molecule: ribosomal RNA, 497 nt
Filed under: uncultured bacterium
Lineage: Bacteria
Description: partial 16S ribosomal RNA
Rfam family: Bacterial small subunit ribosomal RNA
Source: RNAcentral